AAAGCCGAAUCAAAGGGCGCCCAGCCCCCCUCAGGGGCGCCCAGGCGUGGAUUCUGCACAUUUUCUGCAAAUUUUGCAGAUUUGGAAGAACUCACACCCUUAAGUUUCGUUUUAGGCCUUUUGGUGAACUUCUAACUGUCCUAAUUCGAAGUAUAGAUGAAAUUGAACUUGUCUAAGUAACUUUAAGUCUUCCUAACAUCAUUCUCCAAUGAUUAUGCAAGGAUUUCUAAUUCAAAACCUCAUUUUCAUCAACCUAUGGACUCAAAACUAAAUUUACCAUUUGGAGAGUAUAUUUGAUCACUCUAACACUUCUAACAAGUCACUUUUGACUUAACUAAACCAUUCUAAGAGCCUAAUUCGACCUUUAACCCAUAAUUCUCGAAAUCACCCUCUCACUUCCUUUAAGACGACCUAAAAACAACAUAAUCCACCUAACUUGAACUCUAUUAACAUGUAUAACAAUUUUCAUCUCUUCUAAUACUCAAUCCAGUACCCUACCUUAUACAAUUCACUUCAUAUGCAUCCAUUCACAACUUUAUACAUUUUAGAAAACAAGGAUUUCAUACUCAUACACAAAAUCAUCUACUUUCAGCUCAAACACAAUACUUCACAAUAUACAACUUACACAUGCAUUAUUUUACAACGUCCACAGGUCACAAUUCAUGCAUAUACAUCACACAACACAGAAUCAUAACCCAGCUUCCCUUACCUGGGAAUUUCACAAUAUAGCCCAACUAAAUCCGGUUCAAGCUUGCACUUCACGGAAUUUCUAGAAAAACCUACAGACCUUAAAUUGGAAACAAGAAAUAACUUUUAGAACCUAAUUUAAGUCAGAAUUUGGAGGAAGGCACAAUCAACUACAUGCAACAGGGUUUUGUUACAUGAUUACAACCCUAAUAUUACGUGGGACAUGGAAGAGGACUUACCGGCAGAGAAAGGGAAAACUAAUCGGUUGAAAAUGGAGCUCUUUGAGUCGCAAUCACUGAGGUGCCAUCCAAUUGAAGAUUCUCUGGAGCAAUGAAGCUUGAGGUUAGAGAGAAUGCAGAGGAUGGGAGUUGGAUUUUUUUCUAGAGAGAGAAUGAAAGUGUGGAAAAUGGCUUAAAGUUUGUAAAAGUGGAGUUUUCUAAUGUCAAUGUGGUAGCUUACAG
This 1148-nucleotide long non-coding RNA is filed under the name Vigna radiata. RNAcentral describes it as "long non-coding RNA (VRAD_LNC009590)". The record is from RNAcentral. Lineage: Eukaryota; Viridiplantae; Streptophyta; Magnoliopsida; Fabales; Fabaceae.